Long non-coding RNA from Vigna angularis (adzuki bean), 1069 nucleotides. RefSeq lists it as uncharacterized. The transcript is spliced from 2 exons. The record is from RefSeq and is a predicted model, not a curated record. NCBI's taxonomy places the organism in Eukaryota, Viridiplantae, Streptophyta, Magnoliopsida, Fabales, Fabaceae.
UUUUAUAGUUAAACCCCUUCGAAAGUUGCUAUUUAGGUGAGGUUUUCUAGUUAGAUAUUUGUUUUAUAGGUUUUGUCAAUUUGAUCUUUAAUAUUGAAAAAUUGAUUUUAUUGGACUUCUACCAUUAAAUUGUCUUAACGAGAUUAAGUUUUUUAUGAUCUGAUACGUUUAUGGGGUAAGUUUUUUAUACGUGGCACAUUCAAGCAAAUUACAUGGAAUGUAAAAUAAAAAAAAUAAAGUUUCUGAUAAUUGAAACCCAAAUUAGGGUUCAUCUUCAACCUCCCUUCAUCGUCUUCAACCCCCCUUCACCAUCUUCAACUUUAGCGAUUGAUGCUCAGAGUUCAUCACCAAAUUAGGGUUUAUCACCAAAUUUGUGAAGAAGGAUUUCUCUACGAUUUGGGAAUUUCUUUGUAAUUAGGGUUCAUCGUUUCAGUGGUGCUUUAUGCAAAUUGGGGCUGGCGCUUUGGUUCGAUGGUGUUCGCGAUUUAGGGUGGCUAUUGUUUUUAGGAUUUUCUGAUUGUAGGUUUGGUGGCUCUAUGGAAGUUGGGUUCGAGGAAGACGAAGACACGAGGGGUUUCGUAGUGUUCACGCAUGGAAGUCGCGAGAUUGGCGUUCUCUGGGUUUUCUCUUUUUUUUUUAGUUCUCCUCUUCUUUGCAAGUGUGAGGCGAUUGAUGAAGGAGGAAAAGAGGAACCUAGGUUUCUCGCAAUUCUAGGUUUUGCUACGGUUGAAGGUGGAGCGAUUGCAACGAUGUGGUUGAUUAUGAAGUUCUUGCACUUGGUUUCUGAGUGUGUUUGCAGGUCACGAUGCUGCAAGGGAGGCGCUGGUUGAGCGACAACGGAGACGAACUCGCAGUGGUGAUGGUGGCGGAUGAUGGGCUUCUGCGAUGCAAAAGAUUACAAAAACUCGAAGUUCUCUGGUUCAAUUGGUGCUUUCAGAUAAAUGCAAAUGAUUUCUGCAGAAGAUUGGCCAUGAAGGGUGUAACUAAACUGCAAAAUUUUGGAUCAGUUUUCAAUAUUUUAAUACAUGUUUUCAGGAAUAAGGAGAUCCCACAAAAUUUGAUUUACUCA